This is a long non-coding RNA of Musa acuminata AAA Group (dessert banana), 791 nucleotides long. RefSeq lists it as uncharacterized. The transcript is spliced from 2 exons. Lineage: Eukaryota; Viridiplantae; Streptophyta; Magnoliopsida; Zingiberales; Musaceae. The record is from RefSeq and is a predicted model, not a curated record.
UGCAUCUGGUGAGCUUACCGUCGGGGAUGCUGGUAUGGUCUUGGAGAGCGAGUCAGCGACGGCGGUGGCGCUGCAGAGGGAGGCGUGGAGGGCGAGGAACUGCUCCACGGCUGACUGCGGCCUCUCCUCCUUGGCGCAGGAUUGAGGAACCCAAGAGAACUGGUGGCUACGAGAUCCUCAGGGUUCCCGACACAUGGAUGACGACCAGGAAGUGGCCUCGCACCCUUAAGAAUGGGCACAGGGGAGCCUGCCUCAAGGCAGUCAACAUGAAUGAAUUGGCCUAGUUGGAUCUGAUCACUCAAGAUAAGGUCAUUGUGCUCAUCAGGCAGGGAAACAUAUGUUGCAUGGGAAGAAUCAGAGACCUUCAGAUAAAAGCCUCUGUUGGUGAAGAGAUCACUUCCAGCUAGGGCAGGAACAAUACUCACAACCUGGAGGAGGGACGACCGAUGCUCUCCAGCAAUCUUAACAUCAGUGUUCAUGUGCUGAAGGAGCUUGAUAAGGACACCCGGGACCAACGAAGCCAUUUGUUGCAAUUCUAAAACACAUUACUCUGCGGGAAAGGAGAAAACAUUUGGAUACUCAAUGAAUUAGCAUCUGAGUAUAAAUAGCAAUCAAUGCUAGCAUGAACAAGAAAGUUGAUCGAGCUUCGGGACCAGGGCAGGUUCUCCUUAGUUAUUCUCUAAUUGUUCCACCAUCAAAGGUGUAGAUGUUCUAAAGCAACUAGUAUGAUAUAUCAGUUGUGUGAUGGCUCCAGAACACACAAAUAUCAAGCAAAUUUUGUUCUUUCAAAA